This 219-nucleotide ribosomal RNA is filed under the name uncultured bacterium. Its description in RNAcentral is "partial 16S ribosomal RNA". It matches the Rfam family "Bacterial small subunit ribosomal RNA", at positions 28 to 244 of the family's 1533-position model. The record is from RNAcentral.
GACGAACGCUGGCGGCGUGCUUAACACAUGCAAGUCGAGCGGUAAGGCCCUUUCGGGGGUACACGAGCGGCGAACGGGUGAGUAACACGUGGGUGACCUGCCCUCAGCUCUGGGAUAAGCCUGGGAAACCGGGUCUAAUACUGGAUAUGACUCCAUGACGCAUGUUGGUGGGGUAGGAAAGCCUUGUGCGGCUGAGGAGUCGGGCCCGCGGCCUAUCAG